This 253-nucleotide ribosomal RNA is filed under the name uncultured bacterium. Its description in RNAcentral is "partial 16S ribosomal RNA". It matches the Rfam family "Bacterial small subunit ribosomal RNA", at positions 524 to 776 of the family's 1533-position model. The record is from RNAcentral.
UACGAAGGGAGCUAGCGUUACUCGGAAUCACUGGGCGUAAAGCGCAUGUAGGCGGAACUACAAGUCAGGGGUGAAAUCCCAAGGCUCAACCUUGGAAUUGCCUUUGAAACUGUAGUACUUGAGUAUGGUAGAGGAUAGUGGAAUUUCCAGUGUAGAGGUGAAAUUCGUAGAUAUUGGAAAGAACACCAGUGGCGAAGGCGGCUAUCUGGACCAUAACUGACGCUGAGAUGCGAAAGCGUGGGGAGCAAACAGG